Molecule: ribosomal RNA, 319 nt
Filed under: uncultured eukaryote
Lineage: Eukaryota
Description: partial 18S ribosomal RNA
Rfam family: Eukaryotic small subunit ribosomal RNA
Source: RNAcentral
CCCUUAGAUGUUCUGGGCAGCACGCGCGCUACAAUGGUCUUCGCAAACGGAUGCAUUCUCGAAGGAGAAUGCCAAUCUUGGAAUCUAUGCCUUGGUCGGGACAGUUGCUUGCAAUUUUUCGACUCGAACCAGGAAUUCCUUGUAAUCGUGAUUCAUCACAUCACGAUGAAUACGUCCCUGCCCGUUGUACACACCGCCCGUCGCUCCUACCGAUCGAAGAGUUAGGUGAAUUGUUUUGAUCGAUAAGAUUUGACUAUGGUCAACUCUCGUUGUGAAAUUCUGUGAAUCUGACUGUUUAGAGGAAGGAAAAGUCGUAACA